CCUAGGUGCUUUUAGAGAAUAGGGAAUGUGGUGCGAAUCCACAGCAGCCCCCGCUACUGUAAGGAGGACUUUCUCUCAUAACCACUGGCAUAAGCCGGGAAGGGAGAGAUAAGGAUGAAUCCAAGCCAGGAGACCUGCCUAGGGAUU
This 147-nucleotide non-coding RNA is filed under the name pig gut metagenome. The record is from RNAcentral.